GGAAUAUUAAGUCUGUCCUGGUCACCUGCAAAGAGCAAUCUUUUCACACUGGAUGAGCUAUUCUAGGCCUAAAAAGUAUUUCCCUGCUUUAAGUCCCUACCCCACAGGAUCUCUGCUCAUGGUUAAAGAAAAGAAGUUGGGGCCGGGUGCAGUGGCUCACCUCUGUAAUCCCAGCAAUUUGGGAGGCUGAGGUGGGCGGAUCACGAGGUCAGGAGAUCGAGAUCAUCCUGGCUAACACGGUGAAACCCUGUCUCUACUAAAAAUACAAAAAAAUUAGCCGGCCGUGGUGGCGGGCGCCUGCAGUCCCAGCUACUCAGGAGGCUGAGGCAGAAGAAUGGCGUGAACCCAGGAGGCGGAGCUUGCACUGAGCCGAGAUUGCGCCACUGCACUCCAGCCUGGGGCACAGAGCGAGACUCCGUCUCAAAAAAAAAAAAAAGAAAGAAAGAAAAAAAGAAAAGAAGUUGAAGGAGAUGAACUGAUCUCUGGGAAUAGAGUCUGCCGCCAUCCUUCCUGCAUCAACCAGGGGUGCUCUUCUCAGGGAGGUCACGAGAAAUACUCACUUUUGCUGAUUCUGGAACCUAACAUCUUUCCGGCCGUGGAAAAAGAAAAAUACCUGAGAAGUAAGUGUGACUUGAAAAUAUUUAACAUCAAGCAUGACAACACCUGCCCUCAUGAAAAAUAGUUUUGCCUGUAUGUUCCAGCUGUAUCUUUCUUUGAGAAAAGAGUUAAAUACGCCUUCUUCCUUUGCCUAAGGCAAUACACCUGCAUGAACUUUUGUUACCAAAGUGUUGUAUCUCUCAUGCUUCUAAUCUCUUGACAGUUUCACUACUAUGCCCC
This 837-nucleotide long non-coding RNA is filed under the name Pan troglodytes (chimpanzee). RNAcentral describes it as "lncRNA (ENSPTRG00000053982.1)". Lineage: Eukaryota; Metazoa; Chordata; Mammalia; Primates; Hominidae. The record is from RNAcentral.